AGAAUUUGAUUAUUAGAAGGUUGGCUUGUGAAGUUUGUGAAAUAUUUUAUAACUGAAUAUUUAUAAAUUGAAUACUUUGUGCGAGUUAUUUUAAUCGGAAAACUUUGUUCUCUCUCUACAAUGGAUCCUACAAUAACCAAAUAAAUUAUUGUACGUGUAAAAACAUGUAGUUUUAGGGAGGGUGUUGAAGUGGUCACCACUUCUACGAAAACUCCACAUCUGGUCUUUUUAGUUUUCUCAAGCGCUGAAGCCAUCGACAGCAUAUAGACAAAAGACUAGCAUGAAGGCAGACCAUAAACAAUAGACAAGCGACGUUGGCUUCGGGAUUUUCAGUUAUAAGG
RNAcentral lists this unclassified non-coding RNA (341 nucleotides) under Bombus terrestris (buff-tailed bumblebee). RNAcentral describes it as "misc RNA ENSBTSG00005024573.1". Lineage: Eukaryota; Metazoa; Arthropoda; Insecta; Hymenoptera; Apidae. The record is from RNAcentral.